AGGGGCGUCGUAUAACGGCAAUACUUUGGUCUCCAAAACCAACUAUGCGGGUUCGAUUCCUGCCGCCCCUGCCA
This 74-nucleotide transfer RNA is filed under the name Acholeplasmataceae bacterium. RNAcentral describes it as "tRNA-Trp". It matches the Rfam family "tRNA". From Rfam's summary of the family: Transfer RNA (tRNA) molecules are approximately 80 nucleotides in length. Their secondary structure includes four short double-helical elements and three loops (D, anti-codon, and T loops). Further hydrogen bonds mediate the characteristic L-shaped molecular structure. tRNAs have two regions of fundamental functional importance: the anti-codon, which is responsible for specific mRNA codon recognition, and the 3' end, to which the tRNAs corresponding amino acid is attached (by aminoacyl-tRNA synthetases). tRNAs cope with the degeneracy of the genetic code in two manners: having more than one tRNA (with a specific anti-codon) for a particular amino acid; and 'wobble' base-pairing, i.e. permitting non-standard base-pairing at the 3rd anti-codon position. The record is from RNAcentral. RNAcentral also lists the same sequence under 5 other names. Lineage: Bacteria; Bacillati; Mycoplasmatota; Mollicutes; Acholeplasmatales; Acholeplasmataceae.